UACGGAGGGGGCGAGCGUUGUUCGGAAUUACUGGGCGUAAAGCGUGCGCAGGCGGCCCGUUAAGACAGGUGUGAAAUCCCUGGGCUCAACCUAGGAAUUGCGCUUGUGACUGGCGGGCUCGAGUACGGUAGAGGGGGGUGGAAUUCCUGGUGUAGCAGUGAAAUGCGUAGAGAUCAGGAGGAACACCGAUGGCGAAGGCAGCCCCCUGGGCCUGUACUGACGCUCAUGCGCGAAAGCUGGGGGAGCGAACCGG
This 253-nucleotide ribosomal RNA is filed under the name uncultured microorganism. Its description in RNAcentral is "partial 16S ribosomal RNA". It matches the Rfam family "Bacterial small subunit ribosomal RNA", at positions 524 to 776 of the family's 1533-position model. The record is from RNAcentral.